Molecule: unclassified non-coding RNA, 152 nt
Filed under: uncultured fungus
Lineage: Eukaryota; Fungi
Also listed under: 1 other name
Description: sequence contains ITS1
Source: RNAcentral
CAAGAAGAGACCCUAACCGGUCCUCUCAACCCUGCCCAUCGUACCUUUUUUUGUUGUUCCCUCGGCGGUGCUCGCGGGCCCGCCGGCGGGAAGACCAAACAAACCCUUUGCAAACAAGCAUAUCGAAAUCUCUGAUCAAACAUGAAUUGUCA